UUCUCCCACAGCCUGCUUCCUACUUAUUACUCGGGGCUUAUUAUGCGGGAUAAGGCUACGGCAGGCCCUGCGGUCAGGCGCUUUGUUGCUGGCUUCGUGAAGGGCUGUCAGCCGCAGCUCGAGGGAUGAGCGGGAGCCCGGUCUGCUGCUCGCGCCGCGCCGGAGCACGAGCUCGGGGUGAUAGCGUCUUUUCAAAGGGGGUGCCGUCAUCUUCCAGGAUGCUGACGAUCACCUCACACUUUGGAGCAUGGUGACAUGUCACGAGCAUGCUGGUGAAAGGGCAUUUACCAGUAGGAGAGGUUCAGUGGGACCAACCAGCAUGCAGCAGAUUAAGCAGGAAGGUCUUGCAGCUCUUGUACUGUGAAGAACUGCCCAUCGGAUUUCCCAGAGGAAUCAGCCCGCAGACCUGCUCUGGCUGAUAAUUGGGGUAGUUUUGUUAUCUCACCGGAGACACAAAGACAUGCGCGGCGUUCUUAAAAAAAGUUCAUUCUUUGUGUUCCUGCAAUGGACUGGUUUCCAAUCUACAGAACACAGGACCUAUGUUUUGAAACUCAGGCUCUAGAUCACUGUUGCCCCAGUUUAAAACGUGGAUGAAGGAAGUUGCAAUCUGAGAGCCUAUGCAAUUUUUGCAGACAGUAAACUUUGUGAUAGAAUCUGUCUCUUAACGGUUGUUCAAGGGCAAUAAACAAAUAGGCUUUUUUUCUGCAAUCCUAUUGGCCAGAAGCUGUCAAAUGUGACAACAUAGAUAUGUAAAUAAAUUACUAUACAUACAAAAGCA
This is a long non-coding RNA of Paramormyrops kingsleyae, 778 nucleotides long. RefSeq lists it as uncharacterized. Lineage: Eukaryota; Metazoa; Chordata; Actinopteri; Osteoglossiformes; Mormyridae. The record is from RefSeq and is a predicted model, not a curated record.